AUUGCUUCUCGGCCUUUUGGCUAAGAUCAAGUGUAGUUUUUUUGUAUAAUAAUGUACCUUUUGGUUUUGUAACUAGGCUUUGAAUAAAAAGGCUUUCAGAAGCAUUGGUGUCUAGGGAAAAUAGACAAACUUCG
Small nuclear RNA from Callithrix jacchus (white-tufted-ear marmoset), 134 nucleotides. Its record names the gene U2. It matches the Rfam family "U2 spliceosomal RNA". From Rfam's summary of the family: U2 is a small nuclear RNA (snRNA) component of the spliceosome (involved in pre-mRNA splicing). Complementary binding between U2 snRNA (in an area lying towards the 5' end but 3' to hairpin I) and the branchpoint sequence (BPS) of the intron results the bulging out of an unpaired adenosine, on the BPS, which initiates a nucleophilic attack at the intronic 5' splice site, thus starting the first of two transesterification reactions that mediate splicing. NCBI's taxonomy places the organism in Eukaryota, Metazoa, Chordata, Mammalia, Primates, Cebidae. The record is from Ensembl.